CUUUUCAGAAAGCCAGCCUAUAAAAUUGGUCUCUGCAUGGGCACCCGAGAGCCGUACUCCUGAAGUACGUACUCGCUUACGUAGCACUUCACUUUUCCCGCGUGGACCAACACAGGCACAUUGGGGUGGAAAGCCAGGACGCUUACGUCCUCGUUUUUCAUUAGGCAGGCCCAGAAGACCCCCAAAGGCUGAAUUCUUAGCCAUCAACACAAAUUUAUCAGGUUGAAGUUACAAUAACCGUCACAGCUACAAAGAGGGCACGUUAAGAGGAAAGAAGCGAUACUGCUGCAUUUGUGAAACUCUCGACAAAUUUCAACAGCAAUAUCAGCAACGUAAAGAUUUUGUUACCCCGAAAUACCACAUACUUGCACCUUAAGUGCUUCCGUUUAAGAAAAUGUAAUUUACCAAACUCAUUCAAGAUACAGAAAGCCCGAAUGCCUGAAUAACUGUUAAAGAAACUGAAGCAGUUGUUAAAAAAAAAAAAAGAAAAAAAGAAAUCUUUCCUAAAGAAACCCAAAUCCAAAACCAAACACCAGGCCUUGAUAGUUUUAUAGGUAAGUUCUACCAAACUUUAAAGGUACAAAUCAUUCCAAUAUUAUACAAAGUCUUUCAGAGAAGUCAUCAAGG
Molecule: long non-coding RNA, 627 nt
Organism: Lynx canadensis (Canada lynx)
Lineage: Eukaryota; Metazoa; Chordata; Mammalia; Carnivora; Felidae
Exons: 4
Source: RefSeq, a predicted model, not a curated record